CAUGAACAAGGCCCAAAUAUUAGUCCCACCGGAAACCUUGUCAGUCGUCUCCACACUCUUCCUCUCCAAACCCUAGCUCCCAAAUCCCCUUCGCACCGAGAUCUGAUCUUGACUUCCCCCGCCCCACCGCCGUCAUGGCCACCGGCGGCAACCCCAAUCCCAACGCGAACCCCGGCCAGCCACGCCCGCAGCAGCAGCCGCCGGGAAGCUCUCCGGCGACCCCGCAUAACCACAUGCGCCCCCCCACUCUCGCCGGUUCCCCGUUUCAGGGUCUUUUCCACACCCCGCCUAGCCACAAUCCUGCUUUCCAGAUUCACAUGGGCGCAGCCUCCUCCCCCCAGACCCCACUAAUGGCCGCGGCCGCGGCCUCCGCCGCCGCAUCGGCCAAGCGCCCUCCCCAGAAGCCCCCUUCGCGUCCGCCGGCACCCACCUCCAACGCCGCCGCCGCAGCGUCCAUGGCCGCCGCUUAUAAGGCUGCUAACUCCGGCAGCGUCGACCUCACCCCCGCUGCGCGCCGCAACAAGAAGCGCAAACUCCCGGAGAAGCAGCUCCCGGACCGCGUCGCCGCGCUGUUGCCAGAGUCCGCGCUCUACACGCAGCUCCUCGAGUUCGAGGCCCGCGUAGACGCAGCGCUCGCGCGCAAGAAGGUGGACAUUCAGGAGGCGCUCAAGACACCACCGUCCCUCCAGCGCACGCUCCGCAUCUACGUCUUCAACACCUUCGCCAACCAGGCGCCCCGCACCAUCCCGCCGCCCAAGAAUGGCGAUCCGCCCACCUGGUCGCUCAAGAUCAUUGGCCGUGUGCUUGAAGACGGCGCGGAGCUGGACCCAGCCAGUGUCGUGCCGAAGCACAAUCCGGUGUAUCCGAAAUUCUCCUCGUUCUUUAAGAGGGUGACUAUUGCUCUUGACUCGUCACUCUAUCCAGAGAACCCACUGAUUGUCUGGGAGAAUGCCCGGUCUGCUGCGCCGCAGGAAGGGUUUGAGGUGAAGAGGAAAGGGGAUAAGGAGUUUCUUGCCAAUAUCCGUCUGGAGAUGAAUUAUAACCCCGAGAAGUUCAAGCUGUCACAGCCACUAAUGGAGGUGCUUGGGGUUGAGGUGGACACUCGCGCAAGGGUGAUCGCAGCCCUUUGGCAGUACAUCAAGGCAAAGAAGCUACAGAAUCCAAGUGACCCUUCCUACUUUAUGUGUGACCCCCAACUGAAGAAGGUAUUUGGGGAGGAUAAAAUGAGGUUUGCUAUGCUGUCGCAGAAGAUAUCACAGCAUCUUGCUCCUCCACCGCCCAUCAACUUGGAACAUAAGAUCAAGCUAUCAGGGAAUGGAGCAAACUCGAGUGCUUGCUAUGAUGUAUUGGUAGAUGUUCCUUUCCCACUGCAGAAGGAGAUGACAGCAUUUCUUGCCAAUACUGAGAAGCACAAGGACAUUGAGGCAUGUGACGAGGUGAUAUCUGCUUCAAUCAAGAAGAUCCAUGAGCAUCGUAGGAGGAGGGCGUUUUUCCUUGGGUUCAGCCAGUCCCCAGUGGAGUUCAUUAAUGCGUUGAUAGCAUCACAGAGUAAAGAUUUGAAGCUUGUUGCUGGUGAAGCGAGUAGGAAUAUUGAAAGGGAAAGGCGUGCGGACUUCUAUAACCAGCCAUGGGUUGAGGAUGCUGUUAUAAGAUAUUUGAAUCGUAAACCGCCUGGUGGCAACGAUGGCCCUGGUGCUGGUGGUUCUUGAGAAGAUUGUUGUAGUUCCCUUUGGUGUAGAAACAAGUUGUCUGUCCUGUAUCAGUAUAAUUUCAGAGAUGGUAGUGACAAGAAAAUUGUUAGAUGUCGCGGAGGAACCUGGCAGUUUUACCUCCUUUGUCUGCUCAAAUGGUUUACCUAUUGUAUGGUGUGUUAUAUGUUAUCCCUCCUUGUCAUGGUAAAUGUUGAACUGGAAAAAUCUUUUAGUUUGCAUAUCUACUUAUUUAAAUGUGGCUGCAAGGUUAGGUUUGUAUGGCGUGUGGGGCAACGGGGUUCUCACUGGGCACCAUGUCAAUGAGGAAGAUGUGGAGAUGACCUGAGAAAGUGGGCCUUCUGUAUUUGAACGUGGAAGUGGAGGGAGAUGCAAAGAGAUGCCUCAGUCCUUGUCUUUAGUACCUCGGGGAUUAUGAUAACUGGUGUGUCUCUUGGGCCGUCCUAUUCUCUUUUAUCCGUGGGUUCUUUGAUGAUCAGUUUGUUCAGUUUUGGCCCUCAAGGGUAUGGCGCUUAUGAGUGCUUUUGCAUAUUGUGUUCCCAGGGUGUGAUAGGGUAUAUUUGUAUCUUGGCCCUGUUUACUGUUCUUGUCUUUCUUAAAUAAAACUUGUUAUUACUAUUAUCACAAUCAAUUACUCCCUCUGUUAU
RNAcentral lists this ribosomal RNA (2356 nucleotides) under Triticum aestivum (bread wheat). Its description in RNAcentral is "partial small subunit ribosomal RNA". The record is from RNAcentral. Lineage: Eukaryota; Viridiplantae; Streptophyta; Magnoliopsida; Poales; Poaceae.